UAAUAUUUAGGAGCCGUAUGAAUUUUUUCAAUUAUUGAGAAAUCUUUAUUUUUUCCUAAUUAGCAUUUUUCAGUAGAACAUUGUGAAAAUCGAGAAACCAUGAAAAGUAGAAUUUGCAGAUGGAGAAGAUAGAUUCUGGGUGAAACCAGAAGCAAAGAGAUAGCUCAACAACUGCUGUGAUUUUUUUUUUUUUUUUUUUGCAAAAUGACUAGCAAAGAAUUUUGUUUCAAUCCAGACUCCUGCUUCUAAUAACCAAUAUAAAUCAAUGCAUCUGUGUGACAUUGGCAAAUUUAAAACAAAAUGAGAAGAUUCUGGACUCCUUUCAACUGUUUCACCAACCAUAUAAAAGCAAGGAAUCCAUAAAUUGCUUCUUCAGGACGGUGGUCACGCCGCUGCUGCCUUCUUUGGCUGCAGCAGCUCGGGCACCUCUUCUAGACGCCUUAUUGCGCUGCCCCGGCAACCGUCACCAGGGAAACCAGCCACGCCGCUGCGUGACGUCCUCACGAGUCUACGGCAACCAAGAGGGCGCCGGGAGAUCGGAAAGGGACAGAGGCGCAGAUGGUCCGGGUUGAGGCGAUACUCUUUCUGGGCUAAGUCCUCCCAUUUUUCGGUUUCUUGCCUUAACUGACCUCCUCUGGAAAGUCUUCUCUGACUCUCCAAGUUUAUGGUAAGUGCUUUGGUUACGCAGUCCCAUAGGACCUGAUGCCUUCUCUAUAAUAACUCUUUCUUAUAAAUGCAAGUUUAACUGUUUUUCUCACUAGAAUCCUUGAAGUCAGGAGGUUACACCUGUCCUGCUUGUGUCUAUACCAUAGCCUGGCAUGAUGCUUAUUACAUAAAGUAUACCACAAAAUGUUUGUUGAAUAAAUUUUAAAGUAAUAUUUUCAACAAUUAAAAUUAUUCUCAGGUAAUUAGGAAUAUUUAGUGAAAACUAACAAUUAUACACAUUUGUAGAGUCAGUAAUAAAAAUGUCAAGCUGUAUGUACAUAAGUGCUUAUUUUUCUUUUCAUUCUUAUAUUGUAUCUAUGAAAGAACACAUGAUAACCUGAGUAGGUCUAGGAUCCUUGCAACCACAAGAGACAAAACCAUUAUAUACCACAAUCCACUUUUAAAAACUAGCACCUUCUUUUACAUAUAUAAAAGCAUGUUUUCUUCCUCUGCCUUAAUUAUUCCUAAACUAAGAAGUCAUUUGGGAAUUGUCUUUAAAAGCAAGAAAGUUGGUAGUUUUUCCUUUAAUCUCUCACAUCUGGAUAACUUUAACUGUCCAACAGGUCAAUGGAGCAAAAGUUCUCUUCUCCUUCCUUUCAGGAGGGAGGAGGAUCACCUUUCAGCAGUUUGUUCGGACAGGACAUUAGAUCUGGCUUUCAGAAAGCAGUCCCUGGGGAAAGAAUCAGGGCGUGAGGGAACCAUGUGGUCAUUAAGUCUCAAGUGACUAAUGAUAAUCUGUCUCUGAUCCAGAACACCUUGUGUGCACAUUUCAGGAUAAAGGGGAAUAUUAAAAGUCCAACGUAUCACAAAGUUAUUUGUUAUUCUAUGGUUCAAAUUAUAUAUCUAGCAUAAUAUAUAUCUGUAACACUCCCUGAGUAAAAGAUUUUGAUAAUUCUCUUCCUAAUGACCACCUAGAAGUUUCCCAAGUAUUCAUGAUUUAUAGCCACCUAAAUAAAAAAUGGUUAACUUUUAAAAUAGCAGGGUCAGUAAGUACAAAUCAUAUAACUUGAGAGUAAAAACCCAGAUUAUUAAUCCAUGCCAAUAGGCUUAUUUUACAGAAGCAAAAAAAAAGGUUAUGAAGGGUUAAAUGAACUGCUCAACAACAGGAAUACAUCUCUGGCAGGGUAGGAUUAGAACCCAGCUCUCCUGAUACACAGUUGUGGGUUCUUUUGAUUGACAAUAUAUUGCCAAAUCAUCUGUCUUAUAAUGCUGGUAUGUAUUUAAUCUUAAAAACAUUUAAAAUCCACUCCUUAACAGGAGCCCACAUCUCUUUCUUUGAAUUGUAAAAAAUGUCAGUCAUGCCUAAAAUUAAAUGUAACCUUCUUUCCCAGUGACUUAAUUCAUCUAACGAUUUCAAGUGUGAUUUGAAGAUUUUUUUUUCCCUAGCGCCACUUCUGAAUUUUCCUUUUUUAUCAUUUUCUCAUCCACCCGCAGCAGCUGACCCAGAUCUCUGUCGGAAAGUUGAACAGGUGCAAAAAGAGGCACCUAUAACCAGAUACUCAAAGCCAGUUUGGAAAACACGAAGUAGUCUGUAAACUUGGUAAGAUACUGCUGAAGACCUUUCCAAAUGCAUGGGAAUCUAGAAGAGGCAUAAGGGAACUGGAGCUGCCCAGCAUCACGUGAUGUAAAAGAUUUAAGGAUCUUCACAGCCCGUCAUUUUGGUCACUGGAACUACUAUCUAACAACAAUGGUUUCAAAUUUUGAUUUUGCAUCCGUUACCUGUCAGCCUAUUUAAAAUGGCUGCAAAGGCCCCACCCCGGAAGAUUCUGAUUCAGAUGGUCUGGGGCAGGGCCCAAGGAAUCUGUAUCUUAAGAAGACCCCUUCAAGAGAUUCUGGUGCAUAGGGAAGGAAGAGAACCCCUGGUAUACAGAACUCAAAUACGAUUGUCAUGCUGGGGCCUGGUACCGCUUCAAUCCAUCCUAACUUUUCAUCCAAACCGGUCUGGGUACUUCCGAAAGCAUAGAUUACUUCCAUAGGGAUUACCCCGAAGAGGGAAAUAACUGCUUCCCGCACCGGUAUAAUAAAAGAGACGAAUAAACCUGCCGAAUCAUUUCGGCUGCUCCCAAUACUAA
Long non-coding RNA from Balaenoptera musculus (blue whale), 2777 nucleotides. RefSeq lists it as uncharacterized. The transcript is spliced from 3 exons. Lineage: Eukaryota; Metazoa; Chordata; Mammalia; Artiodactyla; Balaenopteridae. The record is from RefSeq and is a predicted model, not a curated record.